UCCUCCCCAAUCCCCUCUCGUCGCGUAUGGCGGCGCUGCCCCGCCUCCCUGUCUCCCAGCCUUCUCCCUCUUCCACGCCCCAUCUCCAACCCCCAACCCCCAGCCCCGCGCCACUCUGCCUCCCUAGACGUCUGCCGGCCCGCAGGAGCAGCGCACCGCCGGCGCAAGCAGGAGGGGCUGCUGGAGCUCCACCCUUGAUGGUGAUGGCGGACUCGACCUCGCGCCGGCGGCCUCCACGGAGGCAGCGCGGGCGACCUCAACAGGGGCCGGCGCAGCAGGGCGGCGUGGGCGAACUCCGUUACUCCGGCGAGGACGGCGCGGCUGCUGAGGACUGUAGAAGGACGGCCAGCAGGGGCGGCGCGGGUGAGAUCCUCCAUGGUGGCGCGGCCGAACUCCGGCAGGGCGAGCUCCGGCUAGCUCGGUUGAGCUCAGGCGAGUUUUGGCAGAGGGAGCUCUGGCACGGGAUAGGUUGAGUAGUUAGAGCCCACUUUACCUCUUAUUUUUCAGAUCCGUUUCUACAAGAGGAGGAAAAAUUUCGAGUUCAUAAGGGACAUGCUUACAAGGCCAGUUAAUCCUCUAAAUAUGAAUCCUUGCUUUACAUAUGUGUUUAUCAUACAUAUAUUAUUAACAGUUAAUUGAUUUGUAGCCUUCUAUUGGUGUACCUAUAAUCUUCAUGCUUUUACACAACAGGUUAUUGUAAAAGAGAUUUGUGUGUGCAUGCUUUAAUUGUACAUAGAUUUAUCGUUUAUUUGGUUAGGAACCUAAUUUUUUUAGAUUUAUCAUUUGUUGUUGUGUUUAUAAAUCCUAUAGCUACACCUGCAGUGAGAACCAAGAUGCGAACUUUGUAUGGCGGGUUAUUUCCCUUCUAAUGUUUGCCAGAAAAAACAGUUCUGGUCCAAUUGCAACUUGUGUACCAAGCUUGAGGAAAUUUAGAAACCAAAGAAAUAUAAAAUCCAAGAGAAAGGAGGAUAUGGAUUUUAUUUUUGUAGUUCUCCGUGUAAUCCUAACACAAGAUGUGAGAAUUUCCCACAUCAUUAGUCAUUUCU
Non-coding RNA from Lolium perenne, 1046 nucleotides. Lineage: Eukaryota; Viridiplantae; Streptophyta; Magnoliopsida; Poales; Poaceae. The record is from RefSeq and is a predicted model, not a curated record.